This 497-nucleotide ribosomal RNA is filed under the name uncultured bacterium. RNAcentral describes it as "partial 16S ribosomal RNA". It matches the Rfam family "Bacterial small subunit ribosomal RNA", at positions 28 to 507 of the family's 1533-position model. The record is from RNAcentral.
GAUGAACGCUGGCGGCGUGCCUAAUACAUGCAAGUCGAGCGAACAGACGAGGAGCUUGCUCCUCUGACGUUAGCGGCGGACGGGUGAGUAACACGUGGAUAACCUACCUAUAAGACUGGGAUAACUUCGGGAAACCGGAGCUAAUACCGGAUAAUAUAUUGAACCGCAUGGUUCAAUAGUGAAAGACGGUUUUGCUGUCACUUAUAGAUGGAUCCGCGCCGCAUUAGCUAGUUGGUAAGGUAACGGCUUACCAAGGCAACGAUGCGUAGCCGACCUGAGAGGGGGAUCGGCCACACUGGAACUGAGACACGGUCCAGACGCCUACGGGAGGGAGCAGUAGAGAAUCUUCCGCAAUGGGCGAAAGCCUGACGGAGCAACGCCGCGUGAGUGAUGAAGGUCUUCGGAUCGUAAAACUCUGUUAUUAGGGAAGAACAAAUGUGUAAGUAACUAUGCACGUCUUGACGGUACCUAAUCAGAAAGCCACGGCUAACUACGUG